Long non-coding RNA from Marmota monax (woodchuck), 1058 nucleotides. RefSeq lists it as uncharacterized. NCBI's taxonomy places the organism in Eukaryota, Metazoa, Chordata, Mammalia, Rodentia, Sciuridae. The record is from RefSeq and is a predicted model, not a curated record. The transcript is spliced from 3 exons.
AGAAAAUCAAAUCUAUGGAAGAGCCCCAAAUGAGGAAGACAGGAGCUACAAAACAGAAAACAGCACAAUGGCAAUAGAAAAAUUGGACCAGGGAACCAAAUUUAUGAAGUAAGAACUGUCACCAAAGUAUUCCAUAGCUGUUGUUGGAUCCGAGAACAAAGAAAGCCAAAGCACGUAUGUAUGCAGUGGCCACUGUCACAAGGAUGCCUGGAUGAGUGAAGAAAGGCCUGAUUGAGCGCAAGGUCCUAUCAAAUGUCAAAGCUGGCCCUGGCUGACCUCCCAUCUAUUCAGAGCUGCUUUGAUUUAAUCUCUAAACUGGCUGCUUCUCUAGGCUGUGAGUUCUAUCUGCAACCCAUGUGUCAGCAUUGAGAUAUGACCUGCUUCACGCUCCAUUCAUCUCAUUUGAAGGACGGAAAUUAAAAUCGAGGGUCGAAGAGGGGAACAGCUCAAAAUACACACACAUUAACUGAAGCCUUUUGUGUGGGUGCAUUAUAGGAGUUUGAACAACCAUUAAAAAUUAUAUUAAAAUGAAAUUGAUCUUUACUCCACUGAAAUGGUUUAGAACUUUCUCUCCCCUUACCGCCCCUUCAUCUAUUCUUCUUUCUUCCCUCUUCUGUUUGUAGUACCCACGUAUACUGAUCUCAUUAAGGUUCAGAGUAAAAGAGGAGAAACAUAAUUUUUCAGUUUCUUUAAAAAUGGUGGCCUUUCGAAAAUUCAUACAUUGCCUAUAAUUUGCACAGUAAGUUAAAAAAAGAGAAAGAAAGAGCUGAUGACACACAAUAGAUAUGUAGGUUGCUUUGUUCAGCACUAUUGAUUCAUUUACAUUUCACCUUUCAAAUUCUUAAAAAUUCAAUUAAAACUCAAAUUUUGGGAAUAGUCAGGGUACAGUUUAAAUUUGUGUAUUCUAGGUUCUAUUUCCUUUUCCCUUCUUUCUUUUUUGUCCUAUAGAUUGAACCCAGGGCCUUGUGCACACCACUGAGAUAAAUCUCCAACCAUAGAUUCUAAUUUUUUUUUUUUAAUAAAUUUCCCUUGCUCUUUCCAUUGACCCUUUUAUACUU